AUACCAUAAGAGGAAUUCUGGACUGAAGAGUUAUGAAGUCAUUUCAGACACUUCCAGACAAUUUGUGUUAAUUAAAUUCUCACUGGUUGAGUUCCAUUCUACACUGGAAGAGCAUUUUUCCUGGAAAGGCUCCUCAAAAUGGCCUCCCAGCCUCAGGACCUCUCUUUUGGUUGCCUGCUCUGCUACAAAGCUGGAGAUCUAAAGUGGAGGCGUGUAGAAGACACCGUCUGGCUGGACACCAUCAAGAGUCACCUCCUCAGUGAAGCCUUCCAUGGUUUCAUACCACCCAUCCCUAUCGGAAUGAAUGUAUCCUUGUUCUCCGUUAUCCCAGUAUUUUGCCUGGGCUUCUGUCACACUACUUUCAAUGUCUAUACCUCAGUUAUCGAAUCGAAAAACAAGAGUCAUCAGUCUCUAAGGUCCUUGCAAGCUUCAAAACUUUAUAUUUUUGUCAAUUACAACUGAAUAAAGCUGAACAACUUAUUAUUUAUGG
Molecule: long non-coding RNA, 490 nt
Filed under: Homo sapiens (human)
Lineage: Eukaryota; Metazoa; Chordata; Mammalia; Primates; Hominidae
Description: HSALNT0007438
Source: RNAcentral